CUUAAGCCAUGCAUGUCUAAGAAUGAGGGAUCUCUCGAAUCUGCGAAAGGCUCCGUAUAUCUGUUCUAACCCGCCGCCCCCCGUAGGGACUAUUAAGCGGAUACCCCCGGUAAUUCUGAGGUUAAUACGUGAUGCGUGGCGGCCCUCCUGGGAUAUAGGGCCGCCCCAGGCUAGGACGAUGCGACGCCGGGGCAGUGGCGAUACUGCAGCCUCAGAAGGCUGGGCUCUCCGGGGUGUAGUGAUUGGUGGUGCUCAGGAAUGUACAGCCAACGUCCCCCGCGAUCCCCCCGGGCAAAACCGUGAGGGAGUCCGAGUUUCUGGACCGCCCCAGUGGCGGCCGGGCGGCGGGGAUCAGACCUAUCAACUAGACGACCGGGGAUAGACCGGCCGUGGUGAUAACGGGUACAGAGGAUCAGGGUUCGAUCCUGGAGAGGUAGCCUGAGAGAUCGCUACUACUUCUAAGGAAGGCAGCAGGCGCGCAACGUUCCCAAUGGGGAUACCCUGAGGACGUGAAGGGACAUAUUAAUGCCCGGCCCUUAAAGCCGGGCAAUUGACAUGGGGGAUCGCUAAACCUCCCACCGAGUAACAAUUGGAGGACAAGUCUGGUGCCAGCACCCGCGGUAAUUCCAGCUCCAAUAGCAUCUACUUAAGUUGUUGCAGUUAAAACGCUCGUAGUCGAAGCCGGCGCUGUCGCUCGCCCCUUAGCGAGCCGUGGGGGGAAGCCCUCCCGCCCCCUUGCGGGGCGGGGCACGGCGCAGCCUCCCCGGGGAGCGGGGGAAUGAGCGGCACGCUUGUUGCCCGGGAUCCGCCCAACACGGUCCUUCACUGGGCCUGGGCGGCUGAUCGGGCAUUUUCCUUUGACUAAAUGUGAGCGCUCAACGCAGGCCGCGAAGGCCCUGAAACCUCCAGCAAAGAAUAAUAGAAUGGGCCCCCUAUUCGGUCGGGAUAGGUCUCAGCUAAAAGGCUGGGGCUUGCUUGGUGGACGAGCAGAAGGUAUGUAAGAAGAAGAACGUCCAACGGACUCGCUGACUCCCAGCGACCAGAGAAACGAACACAAGAAACGAGCAGGCCCCAUUUCUUGGGCCAAUGAUUAACAGGGGCGAUCGGGGCGGGCCACAUGGUCGGGGUAGGGGUGAAAUCCGUUGAUCCUGACCAGGUGAACUAGAGCGAAAGCAGCCCGCUAGUACGCUUUCUUUGAUCAAGAACGAAAGUCUGGGGAUCGAAGACGAUCAGAUACCGUCGUAGUCCAGACCCUAAACGAUGCCGGCCAUGGAUGGGCGCUCGUCCAUCCCGACCCCGCCCGCACCUUGUGGGAAACCAUAAGCGUCUGGGCUCUGGGGGGAGUAUGGUCGCAAGACUGAAACUUAAAGGAAUUGACGGAAGAGCACACAAGGAGUGGAGCCUGCGGCUUAAUUUGACUCAACACGGGGAAACUCACUAGAGCAAGAGGGGGCAAGGAUCGACAGGCAAGCAGUGCUUUCGCGAUUCCCCCAGUGGUGGUGCAUGGUCGUUCUUAGUUCGUGGAUUGUUUUGUCUGGUCUAUUCCGCUAACGAGCGAGAACCUACUCUCCGAGGUUAGGUGCCCGGGCACGCAGGGCCGGGCCCCCCGCGAGGGGGGCCUGGCCUAGCUGAGAACGCCCUUGAAUACGUUCCGGGGAGUCCAGCGCCGCGAAGGCGCUGUCGGCGGGUCAAUAACAGGUCAGUGAUGCCCUUAGAUGCUCUAGGCUGCACGCGCGCUACAAUGGGGCAAGCACCGGGCCUUCCUGUGCCGAGAGGCGGCGGGGAAUCCGGUAAAAUGCCCCGUGUCCGGGAUAAUCGCGUGUAAAUCGCUCAUUUGAACAAGGAAUUUCUAGUAGUCGUG
RNAcentral lists this ribosomal RNA (1861 nucleotides) under Perichaena chrysosperma. Its description in RNAcentral is "partial small subunit ribosomal RNA". It matches the Rfam family "Eukaryotic small subunit ribosomal RNA", at positions 43 to 1625 of the family's 1831-position model. The record is from RNAcentral. Lineage: Eukaryota; Evosea; Eumycetozoa; Trichiida; Trichiidae.